This 396-nucleotide ribosomal RNA is filed under the name uncultured bacterium. Its description in RNAcentral is "partial 16S ribosomal RNA". It matches the Rfam family "Bacterial small subunit ribosomal RNA", at positions 523 to 918 of the family's 1533-position model. The record is from RNAcentral.
AUACGUAGGUGGCGAGCGUUGUCCGGAAUUAUUGGGCGUAAAGAGCAUGUAGGCGGCUUAAUAAGUCGAGCGUGAAAAUGCGGGGCUCAACCCCGUAUGGCGCUGGAAACUGUUAGGCUUGAGUGCAGGAGAGGAAAGGGGAAUUCCCAGUGUAGCGGUGAAAUGCGUAGAUAUUGGGAGGAACACCAGUGGCGAAGGCGCCUUUCUGGACUGUGUCUGACGCUGAGAUGCGAAAGCCAGGGUAGCGAACGGGAUUAGAUACCCCGGUAGUCCUGGCCGUAAACGAUGGGUACUAGGUGUAGGAGGUAUCGACCCCUUCUGUGCCGGAGUUAACGCAAUAAGUACCCCGCCUGGGGAGUACGGCCGCAAGGUUGAAACUCAAAUGAAUUGGCGGGG